Molecule: ribosomal RNA, 805 nt
Filed under: Staphylococcus aureus
Lineage: Bacteria; Bacillati; Bacillota; Bacilli; Caryophanales; Staphylococcaceae
Description: partial 23S ribosomal RNA
Rfam family: Bacterial large subunit ribosomal RNA
Source: RNAcentral
CAGUAAAUGUGGAGCCGUAGCGAAAGCGAGUCUGAAUAGGGCGUUUAGUAUUUGGUCGUAGACCCGAAACCAGGUGAUCUACCCUUGGUCAGGUUGAAGUUCAGGUAACACUGAAUGGAGGACCGAACCGACUUACGUUGAAAAGUGAGCGGAUGAACUGAGGGUAGCGGAGAAAUUCCAAUCGAACCUGGAGAUAGCUGGUUCUCUCCGAAAUAGCUUUAGGGCUAGCCUCAAGUGAUGAUUAUUGGAGGUAGAGCACUGUUUGGACGAGGGGCCCCUCUCGGGUUACCGAAUUCAGACAAACUCCGAAUGCCAAUUAAUUUAACUUGGGAGUCAGAACAUGGGUGAUAAGGUCCGUGUUCGAAAGGGAAACAGCCCAGACCACCAGCUAAGGUCCCAAAAUAUAUGUUAAGUGGAAAAGGAUGUGGCGUUGCCCAGACAACUAGGAUGUUGGCUUAGAAGCAGCCAUCAUUUAAAGAGUGCGUAAUAGCUCACUAGUCGAGUGACACUGCGCCGAAAAUGUACCGGGGCUAAACAUAUUACCGAAGCUGUGGAUUGUCCUUUGGACAAUGGUAGGAGAGCGUUCUAAGGGCGUUGAAGCAUGAUCGUAAGGACAUGUGGAGCGCUUAGAAGUGAGAAUGCCGGUGUGAGUAGCGAAAGACGGGUGAGAAUCCCGUCCACCGAUUGACUAAGGUUUCCAGAGGAAGGCUCGUCCGCUCUGGGUUAGUCGGGUCCUAAGCUGAGGCCGACAGGCGUAGGCGAUGGAUAACAGGUUGAUAUUCCUGUACCACCUAUAAUCGUUUUA